GUCUGACUUCAAAGCUCAUCUUUUCAUCCACAGCAAGAAACCUGAGAAGAGCUACUGCGAAGACGAUCCAGGACUGCGGAAUCCCCUGGCCUGACACAGACUUAAAUUCCUUUGUGCCCAGAGUAUGACAGACUCUCACGCGGUCAGCCGUCUGCAGGCUGGGGGACUCGGGAGGACCGGCACGAGGAAGGAGAAAGAUAAACUGGGACGCGUGACUUUCUUCAUCACUUCAGGCUGAGCACACACAUGUCUUUCUGACCGGGCCACGUCCUACAAAAAUGAACUAUUUCACAUAGCCUUCUCAGGCACUCAACCAAAUGACGGAGAAAACAAAGGGGGAAGUGGAAAAACAUUUCAUCUGAAGCAAAGUAUUUCUCCUUGAGGAAUGUUUAAUUGAACAAGUAUCAACAUCAGAUGCAAUGAGAGAUCAGAUGAGAAAGUUGGAGACAAUAACCAGAAGGUUGAAAUGAUG
Camelus dromedarius (Arabian camel) is the source of this 472-nucleotide long non-coding RNA. RefSeq lists it as uncharacterized. The record is from RefSeq and is a predicted model, not a curated record. NCBI's taxonomy places the organism in Eukaryota, Metazoa, Chordata, Mammalia, Artiodactyla, Camelidae. The transcript is spliced from 3 exons.